AAUGAACGUUGGCGGCGUGGAUUAGGCAUGCAAGUCGCGCGACAAGGAACCUUCGGGUUCUGGAGGAGCGGCAAACGGGGUAGUAAGGCAUCGGAACGUACCCUCUUGUUGGAAAUAGCCGCGGGAAACUGCGAGUAAUGCCCAAUAAUCCCUACGGGGCAAAGGUCCGCCGCAGGAGGAGCGGCCGAUGUGAUACCAGCUAGUUGGUGAGGUAAUGGCUCACCAAGGCUUAGACGUCUAGGGGGGUGUGAGAGCAUGGCCCCCCACCACUGGGACGUGAGAUACUGCCCACGACACCUACGGGUGGGCUGCAGUCGAGAAUCUUCGGCGAAUAGGGCGGCAAGCCUGACCGAGCAACGCCGCGUGCGGGAGUGAAGGACCC
RNAcentral lists this ribosomal RNA (382 nucleotides) under uncultured bacterium. RNAcentral's name for it is "bacterial SSU rRNA". It matches the Rfam family "Bacterial small subunit ribosomal RNA", at positions 29 to 418 of the family's 1533-position model. The record is from RNAcentral.